RNAcentral lists this long non-coding RNA (444 nucleotides) under Rosa chinensis. RNAcentral describes it as "sRNA RchiOBHm_Chr4g0437581". The record is from RNAcentral. Lineage: Eukaryota; Viridiplantae; Streptophyta; Magnoliopsida; Rosales; Rosaceae.
CGUUAUCCAAUCCCGUCUGAACACUCUCGACCUUAACCAAUCUCUUUCUCUCUAUCUCUGCCCCGCCUCCGUCCGCACCUUCUAGGAGCACUCCUACUGCGUCAACUCUGCCUCCGGCGACUGUACCGCACGCGUCUCGGACGUGCGUGAGCCUAGAUCCACCAUGAUCAUCCCGGCGCACGAGUUCGAGAUCCUCCCUUGCGAUUUGAACAAGUACGGCGACUGCGUCAUCACCACCACCUUCGUCGACAAAUCGAUCAAGGUUUGGGACGUCAGAUCCAUCAGAGCUCCGAUUUCGGUGCUCAACGGCCACAGCUACACUGUCAAAAAAGUCAAAUUCUCGCCGCACCGGCAAAGCUUGAUGAUGUCGUGCUCGUACGACUUGUCGUUGCUUCAAUACAAGGACUAGGCACUGGCGACGGUUUCGAUAGCUACAGCUCCGGC